GCACAGAGGCAUGAGCCGCGCAUACCUGGCUUUAUUCUUCCUUGCGCGCCUCUUGCUCGAGAUCCGCAAUGCCGAAUCGCAGUGCGCCGAGCUCCAGAAAUACGUCGAGCUCUCGCAGGCCUGCGACUUCUACUUCGAUGGCUACCACCAUCUUCCUCCCAUCCUGGAGCUCAAGAACAACGAGAGUCUCACGCCUUCCAUCUCCACCAGGUAAAGAGCUCUCUCUCACCUCCAAGAGCUCACGCAGCGUGAUUUCUUUCCUCCAGGGACGGGAAGAAAGUGCUGAGGAUCGGGGAGAUCGCGCGCUGCAAAGCUUAUUUCGCUGCGUCCUUCACGUUCGUCGGCGUUGGAGGAACUGGAGACUGUCACAACCAGUUUAGGAUCAACAAGAACAAUCAAGUAGAGCUGGCUCACUUUGGUCAGCAGCAGGGAGCUCUCGUCGAUCCGUUGCAAGCCAGUGCCAUUAUCCUGUUCCUGGAUCAGCUGGAGCUCGAGGAUGGGACCUGCUUAACCGAUGGAGAUCACGACACCAAGUACAUCGAGAGCCGGAGGUGUGUCUCGUUUCUUACCAUGCCUCACCUCCACGCCGAGGUCGCAGCUCCAGUGGUGGUGAUGAAGGAGUUCGUGCUCUUUCGCGAGAAGAUCAUGCUCGAGUUUAUCCAGACGAUGAGGAAGAUCCAAAUGAACCUGAGGCAGAUGAUCCAGGAGCGCCUUCUUCAGCAGUUGCCGACGUAUUGAAGGCUCGAGGUCGUGGUAUCCAUCGGACCGGUCUUUUGUUGUUAUUCUACCACCGGCCUGAAACGACAAGAUAAUUCUUAAGAAACAGAACAAAAAGAAUAAACCAUACUCUCUCGGUCGGCUGUCCUUUAGGAGAUUAUCGCGUUUGACGUUGGAAGUCGCAUCUUUGCUACAAGCGAGACAAGUGAAACACGCAAUGCUGCCGGCCUGAAAAAUAAAAAUCAAGUGCAGUCUCGUUCCUGUUCAUUAAGGUCCUCUAUAAGUUGCAGAAAGAAAUUCCGAAAUCAAUCACCUGGCAAUGGAGCUCCCAGCAAUGGUGCUCUUUAUUGUCCUCCUCCUUUCGAGUCAUCUUGGAGCUGCCAGUGUAUCUGAUAGAAAGGUAAGUUGUGAACUCGAGUUACAGGAAAUCUUCAAUCCGUGCUUUUUAGCUGUAUGUUGUCUACACGGGAAGGAGAGCAAGUCACGAAGACAUUCACGCAGCUCACAAACACAACCAUGCCACGCUCGCAAACGUACUUGGAAGGUAUGAGAAACAAAUACGCUAGCUACAUGUACUGAAUCAAAGACGCGGCACAGCUCCGAGGCUGUACAAGAUUCAAUGAUCUACAGCUACAAGCAUGGAAUGAGAGGCUUUGCAGCGUUUCUAACUAAUGAACAAGCCGAUGCAAUUGCAAGUACGUACCUCAGCUGGAAAACGACUGCUCUUAUAACACCUUCUUGCUGUGCAGAAAAGGAUGGCGUCCUCUCCGUGAUUUCGAACAAACUCCACAAAGUUCACACCACGCAGUCGUGGAGCUUCU
RNAcentral lists this long non-coding RNA (1538 nucleotides) under Selaginella moellendorffii. RNAcentral's name for it is "long non-coding RNA (SMOE_LNC000990)". Lineage: Eukaryota; Viridiplantae; Streptophyta; Lycopodiopsida; Selaginellales; Selaginellaceae. The record is from RNAcentral.